RNAcentral lists this ribosomal RNA (459 nucleotides) under Burkholderia sp. oral taxon 406. RNAcentral describes it as "bacterial SSU rRNA". It matches the Rfam family "Bacterial small subunit ribosomal RNA", at positions 30 to 476 of the family's 1533-position model. The record is from RNAcentral. Lineage: Bacteria; Pseudomonadati; Pseudomonadota; Betaproteobacteria; Burkholderiales; Burkholderiaceae.
AUUGAACGCUGGCGGCAUGCCUUACACAUGCAAGUCGAACGGCAGCAUGAUCUAGCUUGCUAGAUUGAUGGCGAGUGGCGAACGGGUGAGUAAUACAUCGGAACGUGCCCUGUAGUGGGGGAUAACUAGUCGAAAGAUUAGCUAAUACCGCAUACGACCUGAGGGUGAAAGUGGGGGACCGCAAGGCCUCAUGCUAUAGGAGCGGCCGAUGUCUGAUUAGCUAGUUGGUGAGGUAAAGGCUCACCAAGGCGACGAUCAGUAGCUGGUCUGAGAGGACGAUCAGCCACACUGGGACUGAGACACGGCCCAGACUCCUACGGGAGGCAGCAGUGGGGAAUUUUGGACAAUGGGGGCAACCCUGAUCCAGCAAUGCCGCGUGUGUGAAGAAGGCCUUCGGGUUGUAAAGCACUUUUGUCCGGAAAGAAAUCGCACUUACUAAUAUUAGGUGUGGAUGACGUA